Molecule: ribosomal RNA, 253 nt
Filed under: uncultured bacterium
Lineage: Bacteria
Description: partial 16S ribosomal RNA
Rfam family: Bacterial small subunit ribosomal RNA
Source: RNAcentral
UACGAACCGUGCAAACGUUAUUCGGAAUCACUGGGCUUAAAGGGCGCGUAGGCGGGCCGCCCGGUCCGGGGUGAAAUCCUCCAGCUCAACUGGAGAAGUGCCUUGGAUACCGGCGGCCUCGAGGGAGGCAGGGGCGUGCGGAACUUCGGGUGGAGCGGUGAAAUGCGUAGAUAUCCGAAGGAACACCGGUGGCGAAAGCGGCGCGCUGGACCUCUUCUGACGCUGAGGCGCGAAAGCCAGGGGAGCAAACGGG